RNAcentral lists this ribosomal RNA (1309 nucleotides) under Oreodytes scitulus. RNAcentral's name for it is "16S ribosomal RNA". The stretch from base 1066 to 1224 matches the Rfam family "Archaeal large subunit ribosomal RNA", at positions 2542 to 2701 of the family's 2987-position model. Lineage: Eukaryota; Metazoa; Arthropoda; Insecta; Coleoptera; Dytiscidae. The record is from RNAcentral.
AGUAAAUUAAUUAUUUAUUUUAUAUAUUUGAAUUUUAAUAAAAAUAAUUUUAUUAAUAAUUAUUUUUAGUAUAUAUUAUAGAAAAAAUUUUUUUAAUUAUAGUUAAUUAGUAUUGUAAAAGAAUUAAGAUUUAUUAUAUUUAUUAUAAAAAAGUAAAAUUUUAUUUUUGUACCUUGUGUAUCAGGGUUUAUUAAAUAAUUUUUAUUAAUUUUAAUUUUCCCGAAUUUAAGAGAGAAAAUAAAUAAUUUUUUUUAUUGUGAAAAAAAUAUUUAUAAUUAUUUAUUAGAAAUGAAAAGUUAUUCGUUCUUAAAAAUAUCUGGUUUAUUUAGAAAUGAAUUUAAUUCAGUUAAUUUAAUUUUAUUAUUUUAUUUUUUUAAAUUAAUAAAUUUUAUUAAUAAUAGUUAAAGGGAUUAGCUUUUAAUUAAAAUACUAUAAUAAAAUUAUUUAAAAUAGAAAUUUAUAAGUUUAGAAAUAUCUUUUAUUAAUAAUUUGUUAUAAUAAGUUUUUAUUUUUAUAUUAUUUUAUAAUUAUUUAGUUUUUUAUAAAUAAAUUUUAUUUAAUUUUAAAAUAUUAGAUAUAAUGAUAAAAUUAGUAUAUUUAAAAAUAUUUAUAUAUAUUUUUUAUAAAAUUUAUUUAAAGGAAUUCGGCAAAAUUUUUAUUCGCCUGUUUAACAAAAACAUGUCCUUUAGAAAUUAGAAUUUAAGGUCUAACCUGCCCACUGAAAUUUUUAAAUGGCCGCAGUAAUCUGACUGUGCAAAGGUAGCAUAAUCAUUAGUUUUUUAAUUAAAAGCUUGUAUGAAUGGUUGGACGAAAUAAAAACUGUCUCUAAAUAAUAAUUAGAAUUUAAUUUUUAAGUUAAAAAGCUUAAAUUUUUAUAAAAGACGAGAAGACCCUAUAGAUCUUUAUAAUAAAUUUUAUAAUUUUAUUUAAGAUUUUUUAAUUGUUUAUAAAUUUUAUUAUUUUAUUGGGGUAAUAAAAAGAUUAGUAAAAUUCUUUUAUAAGUUUUACAAAAAUUAUUGAUUUUUUGAUCCAUUAAUAUUGAUUAUAAGAUUAAGUUACCUUAGGGAUAACAGCGUAAUUUUUUUAAAGAGUUCAUAUCGAUAAAAAAGUUUGCGACCUCGAUGUUGGAUUAAAGAUUAUUUCGGGUGUAGAAGUUCGAAAUUUUGGUCUGUUCGACCAUUAAAUUUUUACAUGAUCUGAGUUCAGACCGGCGUAAGCCAGGUCGGUUUCUAUCUUUAUAAAGUUAAUAUAUUUUAGUACGAAAGGACCAAAUAUAUAAUAUAUAAAUAUUUUGUUUUUGAAUUAUAUU